ACAUAUUGGAAACGACUGCUAAUACCGCAUACNCCCUACGGGGGAAAGGAGGGGACCUUCGGGCCUUUCGCGAUUGGAUGAACCCAGUGUGGGAUUAGCUAGUUGGUGGGGUAAUGGCUCACCANGGUGACGAUCCCUAGCUGNUCUGANAGGAUGAUCAGCCACACUGGAACUGAAACACGGUCCAGACUCCUACGGGAGNAAGCAGUGGGGAAUAUUGCACAAUGGGGGAAACCCUGAUGCAGCCAUGCCGCGUGUGUGAAGAAGGCCUUCGGGUUGUAAAGCACUUUCAGCGAGGAGGAAAGGUUGGCGCCUAAUACGUGUCAACUGUGACGUUACUCGCAGAAGAAGCACCGGCUAACUCCGUGCCAGCAGCCGCGGUAAUACGGAGGGUGCAAGCGUUAAUCGGAAUUACUGGGCGUAAAGCGCACGCAGGCGGUUGGAUAAGUUAGAUGUGAAAGCCCCGGGCUCAACCUGGGAAUUGCAUUUAAAACUGUCCAGCUAGAGUCUUGUAGAGGGGGGUAGAAUUCCAGGUGUAGCGGUGAAAUGCGUAGAGAUCUGGAGGAAUACCGGUGGCGAAGGCGGCCCCCUGGACAAAGACUGACGCUCAGGUGCGAAAGCGUGGGGAGCAANCAGGAUUAGAUACCCUGGUAGUCCACGCCGUAAACGAUGUCNAUUUGGANGCUGUGUCCUUGAAACGUGGCUU
Molecule: ribosomal RNA, 706 nt
Filed under: Aeromonas sp.
Lineage: Bacteria; Pseudomonadati; Pseudomonadota; Gammaproteobacteria; Aeromonadales; Aeromonadaceae
Description: bacterial SSU rRNA
Rfam family: Bacterial small subunit ribosomal RNA
Source: RNAcentral